RNAcentral lists this ribosomal RNA (254 nucleotides) under uncultured bacterium. RNAcentral's name for it is "partial 16S ribosomal RNA". It matches the Rfam family "Bacterial small subunit ribosomal RNA", at positions 524 to 776 of the family's 1533-position model. The record is from RNAcentral.
UACGGAGGGUGCAAGCGUUAUCCGGAAUCACUGGGUUUAAAGGGUGCGUAGGCGGUGGCGUAAGUCAGGUGUGAAAUUCCCCGGCUUAACCGGCGGGACUGCGAUUGAUACUGCGUUACUUGAAUCAGGUUGAGGUAGGCGGAAUGUGAGAUGUAGCGGUGAAAUGCUUAGAUAUGUCAUAGAACACCGAUUGCGAAGGCAGCUUGCUGGACCUGUAUUGACGCUGAGGCACGAAAGCGUGGGGAGCAAACAGG